This 250-nucleotide ribosomal RNA is filed under the name uncultured prokaryote. RNAcentral describes it as "partial 16S ribosomal RNA". It matches the Rfam family "Bacterial small subunit ribosomal RNA", at positions 524 to 773 of the family's 1533-position model. The record is from RNAcentral.
UACGUAGGUGGCAAGCGUUGUCCGGAAUUACUGGGUGUAAAGGGCGCGUAGACGGGUUUGUCAGUCAGAUGUGAAAUACCGGGGCUCAACUCCGGGGCUGCAUUUGAAACUACAGAUCUUGAGUGCAGGAGAGGGAAGCGGAAUUCCUAGUGUAGCGGUGAAAUGCGUAGAUAUUAGGAGGAACACCAGUGGCGAAGGCGGCUUUCUGGACUGUAACUGACGUUGAGGCGCGAAAGCGUGGGUAGCAAAC